This is a long non-coding RNA of Acanthochromis polyacanthus (spiny chromis), 807 nucleotides long. RefSeq lists it as uncharacterized. Lineage: Eukaryota; Metazoa; Chordata; Actinopteri; Pomacentridae. The record is from RefSeq and is a predicted model, not a curated record. The transcript is spliced from 4 exons.
AUCCAUGAUGAUUUCAUCAAAGCUUUUCUUUUCAUCAUGGUGAUACUUGUGAUGGUACUUUGCGCUGUCAUUUACUAUAAGGUUGGUAAAUGGUAUAAAAGACAUGAGCAGGGGGAGUAUUAUGCCCCGGAAGGAGAUGGGCGUUCAACACGGAGAUUCAAAAAAAUGUUUUCGACAGCAAGGAACAUGGUGAUGGUCAUCAUAUUCUGUUGGGCACCAGUUCUUGCCCUCAUUGUGAUGUCUAUCCUGAUGACCUGGACAAGCAUUGAACAGCACAGCUUUUUUGGGCUUUACAUACUACAGGCUAUCUGUGUGUCCAUACAAGGCUUUCUGAACAGUAUGGUUUACGCCUGGAGACGGCCAAACUUCACAGAUGCUGUUCUUGGGGAGACCACACCCCUCAUGGCACAUAAUCAGCUCGCCUUCUUUGAAGAGUCACUGAAGGCCUCGUCUUGACUGGUGACUCGGAGCACUUUGGGAUAUUGUUGCGUCACAACAUACUGGCCUCAGGAAGACUGAGUCCCUGCCUGCACACUUUACGAUUUCAUGACAGUCGAGACUGAAACACAAAAUGUCCUCAUUUGUGGAUUGAAAAUGAUAAGAAAGAAAGAACAAGAAUGACGAAAGAAACACAACAAAGACUAUCUGAACAAACAACUGAGUAUUUAUAUUGUAGCUGCUGAUUUAGUCAUGUAUUAAACAAAGUCAUAUUAGCUUAUUGUAGCAUAUAUAUGGUGUCAAAAAGACCUCUGGGUCAAUUGAAGAAUUUUGUUUUAUUUAUACAUUUGCUGUUAGUGUACUGUUGUA